UGGGGAAUAUUGCACAAUGGGCGCAAGCCUGAUGCAGCCAUGACGCGUGUGUGAAGAAGGCCUUCGGGUUGUAAAGCACUUUCAGCGGGGAGGAAGGCGAUAAGGUUAAUAAUCUUGUCGAUUGACGUUACCCGCAGAAGAAGCACCGGCUAACUCCGUGCCAGCAGCCGCGGUAAUACGGAGGGUUCAAGCGUUAAUCGGAAUUACUGGGCGUAAAGCGCACGCAGGCGGUCUGUCAAGUCGGAUGUGAAAUCCCCGGGCUCAACCUGGGAACUGCAUUCGAAACUGGCAGGCUAGAGUCUUGUAGAGGGAGGUAGAAUUCCAGGUGGAGCGGUGAAAUGCGUAGAGAUCUGGAGGAAUACCGGUGGCGAAGGCGGCCCCCUGGACGAAGACUGACGCUCAGGUGCGAAAGCGUGGGGAGCAAACAGG
Molecule: ribosomal RNA, 429 nt
Filed under: Chloroflexota bacterium
Lineage: Bacteria; Bacillati; Chloroflexota
Description: Chloroflexi bacterium partial 16S ribosomal RNA
Rfam family: Bacterial small subunit ribosomal RNA
Source: RNAcentral